This 253-nucleotide ribosomal RNA is filed under the name uncultured bacterium. Its description in RNAcentral is "partial 16S ribosomal RNA". It matches the Rfam family "Bacterial small subunit ribosomal RNA", at positions 524 to 776 of the family's 1533-position model. The record is from RNAcentral.
UACAGAGGUCCCAAGCGUUGUUCGGAUUCACUGGGCGUAAAGGGUGCGUAGGCGGUUGGGUAAGUCUGUCGUGAAAUCUCCGAGCCUAACUCGGAAACUGCGUCGGAUACUAUUCAACUCGAGGAAUGGAGGGGAGACUGGAAUUCUCGGUGUAGCAGUGAAAUGCGUAGAGAUGUGGAGGAAUACCGAUGGCGAAGGCAGCCUCCUGGGCCAACACUGACGCUCAUGCACGAAAGCGUGGGGAGCAAACAGG